This 2252-nucleotide ribosomal RNA is filed under the name Streptomyces sp. DconLS. Its description in RNAcentral is "bacterial LSU rRNA". It matches the Rfam family "Bacterial large subunit ribosomal RNA", at positions 1 to 2054 of the family's 2925-position model. The record is from RNAcentral. Lineage: Bacteria; Bacillati; Actinomycetota; Actinomycetes; Kitasatosporales; Streptomycetaceae.
UGUGGCCAAGUUUUUAAGGGCGCACGGUGGAUGCCUUGGCACCAGGAACCGAUGAAGGACGUGGGAGGCCACGAUAGUCCCCGGGGAGUCGUCAACCAGGCUUUGAUCCGGGGGUUUCCGAAUGGGGAAACCCGGCAGUCGUCAUGGGCUGUCACCCGCUGCUGAACACAUAGGCAGUGUGGAGGGAACGAGGGGAAGUGAAACAUCUCAGUACCCUCAGGAAGAGAAAACAACCGUGAUUCCGGGAGUAGUGGCGAGCGAAACCGGAUGAGGCCAAACCGUAUGCGUGUGAGACCCGGCAGGGGUUGCGUGUACGGGGUUGUGGGAUCUCUCUUCUGCGGUCUGCCGGCCGUAGGGCGAGUUAUAAACCGUUGAUGUAGACGAAGGACAUGCGAAAGGUCCGGCGUAGAGGGUAAGACCCCCGUAGUCGAAAUGUCAGCGGCUUGCUUGAGAGACACCCAAGUAGCACGGGGCCCGAGAAAUCCCGUGUGAAUCUGGCGGGACCACCCGCUAAGCCUAAAUAUUCCCUGGUGACCGAUAGCGGAUAGUACCGUGAGGGAAUGGUGAAAAGUACCCCGGGAGGGGAGUGAAAUAGUACCUGAAACCGUGUGCCUACAAGCCGUGGGAGCGUCGGAAUGUGCUUGCACAUUCUCGUGACUGCGUGCCUUUUGAAGAAUGAGCCUGCGAGUUUGCGGUGUGUUGCGAGGUUAACCCGUGUGGGGAAGCCGUAGCGAAAGCGAGUCCGAACAGGGCGAUUCAGUAGCACGCUCAAGACCCGAAGCGGAGUGAUCUAGCCAUGGGCAGGUUGAAGCGGAGGUAAGACUUCGUGGAGGACCGAACCCACCAGGGUUGAAAACCUGGGGGAUGACCUGUGGUUAGGGGUGAAAGGCCAAUCAAACUCCGUGAUAGCUGGUUCUCCCCGAAAUGCAUUUAGGUGCAGCGUCGUGUGUUUCUUGCCGGAGGUAGAGCACUGGAUAGGCGAUGGGCCCUACCGGGUUACUGACCUUAGCCAAACUCCGAAUGCCGGUAAGUGAGAGCACGGCAGUGAGACUGUGGGGGAUAAGCUCCAUGGUCGAGAGGGAAACAGCCCAGAGCAUCGACUAAGGCCCCUAAGCGUACGCUAAGUGGGAAAGGAUGUGGAGUCGCACAGACAACCAGGAGGUUGGCUUAGAAGCAGCCACCCUUGAAAGAGUGCGUAAUAGCUCACUGGUCUAGUGAUUCCGCGCCGACAAUGUAGCGGGGCUCAAGCGUACCGCCGAAGUCGUGUCAUUGCAGCAAUAGCCCCAACGGGUGCUGUGAUGGGUAGGGGAGCGUCGUCUGCCGGGUGAAGCAGCACCGGAAGGUAGUUGUGGACGGUUGACGAGUGAGAAUGCAGGCAUGAGUAGCGAUACACACGUGAGAAACGUGUGCGCCGAUUGACUAAGGGUUCCUGGGUCAAGCUGAUCUGCCCAGGGUAAGUCGGGACCUAAGGCGAGGCCGACAGGCGUAGUCGAUGGAUAACCGGUUGAUAUUCCGGUACCCGCUGUGAAGCGUCAAACAUCGAGCAUCGUGAUGCUAAGGCCGUGAAGCCGCCCUGAUCUCUUCGGAGUUGAGGGGAGUGGUGGAGCCGCUGAACCAAGCGGUUAGUAGGUGAGUGAUGGGGUGACGCAGGAAGGUAGUCCAUCCCGGGCGGUGGUUGUCCCGGGGUAAGGGUGUAGCCCGAGUGGUAGGUAAAUCCGCCACUCAUAUAAGGGUGAGACCUGAUGCCGAGCCGAUUGUGGUGAAGUGGAUGAUCCUAUGCUGUCGAGAAAAGCCUCUAGCGAGUUUCAUGGCGGCCCGUACCCUAAACCGACUCAGGUGGUCAGGUAGAGAAUACCGAGGCGUUCGGGUGAACUAUGGUUAAGGAACUCGGCAAAAUGCCCCCGUAACUUCGGGAGAAGGGGGGCCACACUCGGUGAUGGGAUUUACUCCCUGAGCUGGGGGUGGCCGCAGAGACCAGCGAGAAGCGACUGUUUACUAAAACACAGGUCCGUGCGAAGCCGUAAGGCGAUGUAUACGGACUGACGCCUGCCCGGUGCUGGAACGUUAAGGGGACCGGUUAGCUCCAUUUCGGUGGGGCGAAGCUGAGAACUUAAGCGCCAGUAAACGGCGGUGGUAACUAUAACCAUCCUAAGGUAGCGAAAUUCCUUGUCGGGUAAGUUCCGACCUGCACGAAUGGCGUAACGACUUCUCGACUGUCUCAACCAUAGGCCCGGUGAAAUUGCACUACGAGU